This 492-nucleotide ribosomal RNA is filed under the name uncultured bacterium. RNAcentral describes it as "partial 16S ribosomal RNA". It matches the Rfam family "Bacterial small subunit ribosomal RNA", at positions 29 to 507 of the family's 1533-position model. The record is from RNAcentral.
AGUGAACGCUGGCGGUAGGCCUAACACAUGCAAGUCGAACGGCAGCACAGUAAGAGCUUGCUCUUACGGGUGGCGAGUGGCGGACGGGUGAGGAAUACAUCGGAAUCUACUUUUUCGUGGGGGAUAACGUAGGGAAACUUACGCUAAUACCGCAUACGACCUACGGGUGAAAGCAGGGGAUCUUCGGACCUUGCGCGAUUGAAUGAGCCGAUGUCGGAUUAGCUAGUUGGCGGGGUAAAGGCCCACCAAGGCGACGAUCCGUAGCUGGUCUGAGAGGAUGAUCAGCCACACUGGAACUGAGACACGGACCAGACUCCUACGGGAGGCAGCAGUGGGGAAUAUUGGACAAUGGGCGCAAGCCUGAUCCAGCCAUACCGCGUGGGUGAAGAAGGCCUUCGGGUUGUAAAGCCCUUUUGUUGGGAAAGAAAAGCAGCAGGUUAAUACCCCGCUGUUCUGACAGUACCCAAAGAAUAAGCACCGGCUAACUUCGUG